Molecule: ribosomal RNA, 229 nt
Filed under: uncultured bacterium
Lineage: Bacteria
Description: partial 16S ribosomal RNA
Rfam family: Bacterial small subunit ribosomal RNA
Source: RNAcentral
UACGUAGGUGGCCCAGUAAGUCAGUGGUGAAAUCCUGCCGCUUAACGGUAGAACUGCCAUUGAAACUGCUGGGCUUGAGUACAGUUGAGGUAGGCGGAAUGUGUAGUGUAGCGGUGAAAUGCUUAGAUAUUACACAGAACCCCGAUUGCGAAGGCAGCUUACUAAACUGUAACUGACACUGAGGUACGAAAGCGUGGGGAGCGAACAGGAUUAGAUACCCGAGUAGUCC